UAACACGUGAGUAACCUGCCCCUGACUCUGGAAUAAGCGCUGGAAACGGCGUCUAAUACCGGAUACGACACGCCUCCGCAUGGGGAGCGUGUGGAAAGUUUUUCGGUCUGGGAUGGACUCGCGGCCUAUCAGCUUGUUGGUGAGGUAAUGGCUCACCAAGGCGAUGACGGGUAGCCGGCCUGAGAGGGCGACCGGCCACACUGGGACUGAGACACGGCCCAGACUCCUACGGGAGGCAGCAGUGGGGAAUAUUGCACAAUGGGCGAAAGCCUGAUGCAGCGACGCCGCGUGAGGGAUGACGGCCUUCGGGUUGUAAACCUCUUUCAGCAGGGAAGAAGCGAAAGUGACGGUACCUGCAGAAGAAGCACCGGCUAACUACGUGCCAGCAGCCGCGGUAAUACGUAGGGUGCGAGCGUUGUCCGGAAUUAUUGGGCGUAAAGAGCUUGUAGGCGGUUUGUCGCGUCUGCCGUGAAAAUCCGGGGCUCAACCCCGGACUUGCGGUGGGUACGGGCAGACUAGAGUGUGGUAGGGGAGACUGGAAUUCCUGGUGUAGCGGUGAAAUGCGCAGAUAUCAGGAGGAACACCGAUGGCGAAGGCAGGUCUCUGGGCCACUACUGACGCUGAGAAGCGAAAGCAUGGGGAGCGAACAGGAUUAGAUACCCUGGUAGUCCAUGCCGUAAACGUUGGGCGCUAGGUGUGGGACUCAUUCCACGAGUUCCGUGCCGCAGCUAACGCAUUAAGCGCCC
Molecule: ribosomal RNA, 746 nt
Filed under: Intrasporangiaceae bacterium 01xTSA28A_F10
Lineage: Bacteria; Bacillati; Actinomycetota; Actinomycetes; Micrococcales; Intrasporangiaceae
Description: bacterial SSU rRNA
Rfam family: Bacterial small subunit ribosomal RNA
Source: RNAcentral